UUAAGCAGCUCCUAAAUGCAGUGAUCCUGACUGGAUGGUCCUGGGGCGUCUAUCAUGCUCAAGCUCUGGUAAGUAGAUCCACACCUGUAUGAGAAAAAUAAGACCAAAUAGCGUUAAAGACUUAGAAUAUUAUGUGAGACAAUAACACUCCCUAUUGGACACAUGCAAGACAUGAUUGUGGCUAUUUUUUUUAAAUUAACCUACGUGGCUUAUUAGCGCAAACUCAUCAAAGGUGACCUCAUAGACAUAGAAAUACCUCACUAAAGCUUAUGUGGAUUCAAACUCCCAAUAAUCAUGACCCAAAAUUAAUUUGCAAAAAUAACCCAUUUUUCAAGAAUGGUCGGUGUGGCCAGAAGUGGAUAAAGAUGCAAACUCAAAAAAGGACAGACCAUAAAGUAAUAUGGCACCUAGUUGUGGACUCAAGAUUCUAAGACAUGGGUCAUUGACCACUUUUGCGCAAAUGACCCCAUUUUUGCGAGAAUGGCCGAUGUGGCCAAAAGUAGCUAGACAUGCAAGAUUUGGAUAAGACCCUGCGAAGCCAAGAACCUAAGACUCACUAGGAAGACCGGAUCCUAUGUGGACUACCUACGUAUCCCACCCUGAAAGACGAGAAUCAGGUAUGCGUAGUUUGGAAGACUGGAUAUGGGAGAGAAUUUUAAAAAAAUACUGAUUUGAAGAAAACAUAUUUUGUCUUUUUUUUUUGAAAAAUGAUGAAACAUGUAAAAAAAAAUUGGAUUUCCUUUUUCCUUUUUUUUGAUUUUCAGAAAAUGAUGGGAAAGUGCAAAAUCUUUUUUUCUUGGAUUUUUCAUUUUUUUUCUUUUUCUUAAAAAAAUGUGAAAGAAAAACAUAACUGGGCCCUACUUGCUUUAUUUUCACACUUCACCCACUUUCUCUCUCAUUUACCCUCAACCAUCAUUGGUCCGCCAAAUGACCCUUUUUGCCUUUAAAGAAUGGAACAUGUAGCACAUAAGAUGCAUCAGGAUGAUCUUUUAUUUUUGGGUACACCUGUCCUAGACGGACCCAACCCCUGUGUUGAGUCCCCAAAGUCAAAUGCACAUGAUGCAAACAACGUUCCUACUAGGGAUUUGGCAUGAGGUUAUGUUAUUCUAGGUUUAAACCUGGAGUUGUGUUCUAGACCUGGCUUACCCGAGCGGAUAGCUCAGCCGAGGUGGGGGCAACGUAACGGGAGCAUGAAAGUCUACCCGACCUUAUUGAUGACCCAAGCCUCGUUCUAUUUGGUAUGACUUCUAACAAAAAAAGUGGGCCACGCGUAAGUGUGCACCAUAUUUUUAGAAGACUCAGAAGGGAGGCGUAAGAAGACAGUUUAAUAUAAUUCAAAUAAUAUUAAAACGGUAAAUAAACAACAAUUAGCACAUUAGGUCCACAAAAUACAGUAAUAUCAACAAUAAAUAAAGCCAAGUAACAAUCAUAUUAAAAGCUCGAAUUUUUGAACCCUAAACCAGAGAUUCUGGGUUCUUUUCCCCAGCAGAAUCGCCAGAGUUGUCACACCUCUUUUUUUCCAAGGGGGUUAUGGAGUUUUUCCAAUUAAAGUGACAAUAAUAGAAAUGAGAUUAUUUAUUUAAGUUCAGAGUUGCCACUUGGGAUAAUUUAUGGUGUCUCAAAUCACCAGUUUAAAAUACCGAAUCGAGAAAGUUUGACUCUGUUUUACAGUCCGCAAAACACAGAAAUUCGGGUAAGGAAUUCUGUUAACCUGGGAGAAGGUGUUAGGCAUUUUCGAGUUCCGUGGUUUUAGCACGAUCGCUUUAAUCAAACCUGGCUUAAUUAAAUUGUCUAAUUAUUUAUUUUAAGACCUAUGUGCAUUUACCCCUUUUACCGCUUUUAAUUUUUUGAUUAUUCGUAAAUUUGGAAUUAUCUUAAAAUGAGUCAUGCGUACGUAUACUCAUUUCGUUUGGCGCAUCAAGAAUCAUGUCACGCGUACGUGUCCACAAUUCCUAACACUUAGUUUAUUCAAGAAAAGGUUUGGUCAAAGUUGCGCGAAUGCAUACCUCGAUUUAAUUUGGGAAUCGUAAUUAUAUCACGCGAACGUGUACACAAUCACGAUAGUUGAUUAAUUAAGGGCAAGCCUAAAGCACUCUAAAGCAUAUUGCUACGGGAAUAGGCUUCAAAUUCCAACUAACUUUAGCGAACAUGAAACACUAUGAUAGGCAUUGUUACACACAAUUUCUAAAAUACUCCAUGAAAGCUUAAUUAGUGAUAUUUCUUAUAGGAAACCUACAAACUAGGAAUCUUCCCACAUACAUUUCAUGUUUAAACAAAGAUAGAGGGUAAAUGCCAUUAUUCUCAUCAACCAAACACUUAGCAGCUAAAUGCAAAUUUUAACAAAAGGCAUGGAUCCAAAUAGUAAUAAAUCAACUAAGACUUCAAGAGCAAUACAUUACUAUCUCAAAUCAUGGAAGAUAAAACAUAAGUUAACAAGACAUUAAAAUGAUACUAAAUCAAAGAGAAAGUCGGUACCAUACUUAUCACCGAAGAGCACAAAUGAACGAAAGAUGAGAAAGAACCGGACCUCACGAGAAGCUUUCUUCAAAAUUAGAUAAGAUAAUUUGAGGGAGUACAAUUGAAUCCGACUAUUUAAACCCAAACAUUGAGCAAAUCAUAACAACGAAUGAACCGCAAAUAUCAACCGGAGAGCUCAAACCCGAACACCUCAAACUCUGUCAAACUCAAAUUCAUUUUGAAGGAAAAAUUCGAGAAGAGGAGAAACUGAAAUCUUUUUUGAGAAGAAACUUGCAAAAUUUAUUAAAAUAUAUAUUGUAACUUCCCAAUCUACUAUAACUCCAAAAAUGAAACUAUGAUUAAGUACCCUAUUGACUUCAACAUCAACGAUACCUCAUGAAACCUAUAUCGUCUCUCUCUAUUUCUAUUGCAGGCAGCCGCUAGAUCCUCCAAUUCUGGAGAUUGUCGAUCUCCAUGAUUAGCGCGGGAUAAGGUGCAAGAACAUGAGGGUUUUUGAGAGGCGUUGCGGCGACCAGAGGGAAAGGGUGGGGGGUGCUACCGGCAUUCACGACUGUCACCGACAUCUAUGGUUGUUGCCGGCAUCCAUGGCUAUUUGGAAACGGAUGCUAUUCUCUGAAAGUGUGGAAUGGUCGUUUGGUUUUAAGAGGAGAUUGGGGGGUCUGGUUCAUCGACUGGCUGGUGGCAAAUGGGAGGUGUUGGGGUCGAUGGGGUGUCGAUGGAUCUCUCUUGUGUCUUAGAGUUUGUUGAGUGAAGAAGAUGAUGGGGUCCUUGAGAGGGUCACGGUUGUGUUUGUGUGUUCAACAGCUGGAGAUGCGGCUGCUGCUAUCUUUUUUUCCGGUGAGUUUGGGUGACGUAGACGGUGGAGCUGUCGCUGGGCUGAAGCUUAAGCCAUGAAAGGGAGAGAGUGUGAUUGUUGUAGUAGUGACGGCUUGAGCUUUUUUGUCUUCUAGGGUUAAGUCUUCUUUUUGGUUGAAGAAGAAGAUCUGAUGAUCUCUUGGGAGCUAGGGUUUUUCUUAGGUUGGAGAUUGUUAUUAGGGUGGGCUUGCUGAUUAUGGGCUUAGGAAUUAUGGGCUAGGUCCGAAAAUUGGGCCUAAAAAUGGGUUGUUUGAGCCCAAAUUUUA
RNAcentral lists this long non-coding RNA (3599 nucleotides) under Nicotiana tabacum (common tobacco). Its description in RNAcentral is "long non-coding RNA (NTAB_LNC004037)". The record is from RNAcentral. Lineage: Eukaryota; Viridiplantae; Streptophyta; Magnoliopsida; Solanales; Solanaceae.